AGGCUUUCGGGUCGUAAACCCCUUUUCUCGGGGAAGAGUGAGGACGGUACCCGAGGAAUAAGCCUCGGCUAACUACGUGCCAGCAGCCGCGGUAAUACGUAGGAGGCGAGCGUUGUCCGGAUUUACUGGGCGUAAAGGGCGAGUAGGCGGCCUGAUAAGUCUCAUGUGUUAUCUCCCGGCUUAACUGGGAGGGGUCAUGGGAAACUGUCAGGCUUGAGGGCAGUAGAGGAGAGUGGAAUUCCCGGAGUAGCGGUGAUAUGCGUAGUUGCCGGGAGGAACACCCGAGGCGAAGGCGACUCUCUGGGCUGCACCUGACGCUGAGGCGCGAAAGCAUGGGGAGCGAACCGGAUUAGAUACCCGGGUAGUCCAUGCCCUAAACGAUGGAUACUAGGUAUGGGGGGUAUCGACCCCCUCCGUGCCGUAGCUAACGUGAUAAGUAUCCCGCCUGGGGAGUACGGCCGCAAGGCUAAAACUCAAAGGAAUUGACGGGCCCCCGCACAAGCAGCGGAGCGUGUGGUUUAAUUCGAUGAUAAGCGAAGAACCUUACCAGGGCUUGACAUGCUUCUGAAAUCCCGGGAAACCGGGCCAGUCUUCGGGACAGAUGCACAGAUGUUGCAUGGCCGUCGUCAGCUCGUGCCGUGAGGUGUUGGGUUAAGUCCCGCAACGAG
RNAcentral lists this ribosomal RNA (668 nucleotides) under uncultured Chloroflexota bacterium. Its description in RNAcentral is "bacterial SSU rRNA". It matches the Rfam family "Bacterial small subunit ribosomal RNA", at positions 412 to 1096 of the family's 1533-position model. Lineage: Bacteria; Bacillati; Chloroflexota. The record is from RNAcentral.